CCCUUAGAUGUUCUGGGCCGCACGCGCGCUACACUGAUGAAUUCAACGAGUAUUAACCGUCCUUGGCCGGCAGGCCUGGGUAAUCUUGUGAAAUUUCAUCGUGAUGGGGAUAGGUGCUUGCAAUUAUUCACCUUCAACGAGGAAUUCCUAGUAAGCGCAAGUCAUCAGCUUGCGUUGAUUACGUCCCUGCCCUUUGUACACACCGCCCGUCGCUCCUACCGAUUGGACAAUCCGGUGAAAUUCUCGGAGGGCGGCCAGCUGGAGUUUACUCCCCUGGUUGCCCAAAGUUACUUAAACCUUAUUGUCUAGAGGAAGGAGAAGUCGUANCA
Molecule: ribosomal RNA, 329 nt
Filed under: uncultured eukaryote
Lineage: Eukaryota
Description: partial 18S ribosomal RNA
Rfam family: Eukaryotic small subunit ribosomal RNA
Source: RNAcentral